RNAcentral lists this ribosomal RNA (572 nucleotides) under uncultured bacterium. Its description in RNAcentral is "partial 16S ribosomal RNA". It matches the Rfam family "Bacterial small subunit ribosomal RNA", at positions 355 to 921 of the family's 1533-position model. The record is from RNAcentral.
UGGGGAAUUUUGGACAAUGGGCGCAAGCCUGAUCCAGCCAUGCCGCGUGCGGGAAGAAGGCCUUCGGGUUGUAAACCGCUUUUGUCAGGGAAGAAAUCUUCUGAGUUAAUACCUCGGGAGGAUGACGGUACCUGAAGAAUAAGCACCGGCUAACUACGUGCCAGCAGCCGCGGUAAUACGUAGGGUGCAAGCGUUAAUCGGAAUUACUGGGCGUAAAGCGUGCGCAGGCGGUUUUGUAAGACAGAGGUGAAAUCCCCGGGCUCAACCUGGGAACUGCCUUUGUGACUGCAAGGCUUGAGUGCGGCAGAGGGGGAUGGAAUUCCGCGUGUAGCAGUGAAAUGCGUAGAUAUGCGGAGGAACACCGAUGGCGAAGGCAAUCCCCUGGGCCUGUACUGACGCUCAUGCACGAAAGCGUGGGGAGCAAACAGAUUAGAUACCCUGGUAGUCCACGCCCUAAACGAUGUCAACUGGUUGUUGGGAAGGUUCCUUCUCAGUAACGUAGCUAACGCGUGAAGUUGACCGCCUGGGGAGUACGGCCGCAAGGUUGAAACUCAAAGGAAUUGACGGGGUCA